Molecule: long non-coding RNA, 910 nt
Organism: Manacus vitellinus (golden-collared manakin)
Lineage: Eukaryota; Metazoa; Chordata; Aves; Passeriformes; Pipridae
Exons: 2
Source: RefSeq, a predicted model, not a curated record
CCCCUCCUCCCCCGAAGGGACAGGGACAAAGACUCUCCUCAAGUGGUAGCUCUGCUAGAGAGCCUUCCCCCCCUUCCCUGUAAUUCCCUUCCCAUAUGACUGAAGCCCAAAAUGCUCCCAUCCGUGAAGUCCUUUGUGCCUCCUUGCUGCAACACCUGAUCCUGAAGGAGGGAAGGUUGAUGGGGGAGUGGAAGGUCUGGAAAAGCCACCUUGCCAUCCUCUCUCAGCCCCCAAUGUCUGUAUAGGCACGCAGACCUCUCUAAGCUCCGUAUUCCCUAUGCACUGUUGGAAGAGUUCUUCCCCCUAAACACGCACGCACUGCAGGUCCCCGGAGCCCUGCGCGACGCGUGUCCUGGGAGUUGUACCUUGGAACUACGCCAGUCUGUUGAACUUCAUAGCAGGAUUUUCUGGAUUUCACCUCUGAGGAAAUGAGAUGCUCCAUGGAGUGGAGCCACUGCAAGUUCCUGUUCCACGAGAUACACAGCACUGCAAGCAGACACAGCAUCGUGGCAGCUGUAGAGCUUUGCUUGGGGAAGCACAUGUAACUGAGGUGGUUGUAAGAUACGUGUCCAAAAGGUGCUCUUAGAAGGAUUAACUGCUUACAGCUGCGAAUACCACACAACUUUUUCAUGGCCAGUUGUAGCCUCCAGUGUUAUUCCGAAGCCCUGGAAGUGGGACGUGUUUGCUUCUUUUCCUGAUUUUUACUGUGAGGUGGGAAAUAAAUUUCAACCUUUGAAAUUCCUGGCUAACUCUAGAAAAAUCUCCAGCAUGGCUCUUCCUUGUGUUUGGAAAGAAAGUAGUCCUUCAUGCAUAGACAUCUCUCUUUUGGGACACUUGGCAAAUAUUAUUUAGCUCAGCCUCCAAGUCUUCCUGUAAAGUACAUAAAUGGCUUUUAUUUUCCCCUUUUUAA